AGGUCUUGACAUCCCGAUGCUAUUUCUAGAGAUAGAAAGUUACUUCGGUACAUCGGUGACAGGUUGGUGCAUGGUUGUCGUCAGCUCGUGUCGUGAGAUGUUGGGUUAAGUCCCGCAACGAGCGCAACCCCUAUUGUUAGUUGCCAUCAUUCAGUUGGGCACUCUAGCGAGACUGCCGGUAAUAAACCGGAGGAAGGUGGGAUGACGUCAAAUCAUCAUGCCCCUUAUGACCUGGGCUACACACGUGCUACAAUGGUUGGUACAACGAGUUGCGAGUCGGUGACGGCGAGCUAAUCUCUUAAAGCCAAUCUCAGUUCGGAUUGUAGGCUGCAAUUCGCCUGCAUGAAGUCGGAAUCGCUAGUAAUCGCAGGUCAGCAUACUGCGGUGAAUACGUUCCCGGGCCUU
This 405-nucleotide ribosomal RNA is filed under the name uncultured Streptococcus sp. RNAcentral describes it as "bacterial SSU rRNA". It matches the Rfam family "Bacterial small subunit ribosomal RNA", at positions 976 to 1382 of the family's 1533-position model. Lineage: Bacteria; Bacillati; Bacillota; Bacilli; Lactobacillales; Streptococcaceae. The record is from RNAcentral.